Molecule: ribosomal RNA, 468 nt
Filed under: uncultured bacterium
Lineage: Bacteria
Description: partial 16S ribosomal RNA
Rfam family: Bacterial small subunit ribosomal RNA
Source: RNAcentral
GACGAACGCUGGCGACGUGCUUAACACAUGCAAGUCGAACGGAAAGGCCCUGCUUUUGUGGGGUGCUCGAGUGGCGAACGGGUGAGUAACACGUGAGUAACCUGCCCUUGACUUUGGGAUAACUUCAGGAAACUGGGGCUAAUACCGGAUAGGAGCUCCUGCUGCAUGGUGGGGGUUGGAAAGUUUCGGCGGUUGGGGAUGGACUCGCGGCUUAUCAGCUUGUUGGUGGGGUAGUGGCUUACCAAGGCUUUGACGGGUAGCCGGCCUGAGAGGGUGACCGGCCACAUUGGGACUGAGAUACGGCCCAGACUCCUACGGGAGGCAGCAGUGGGGAAUAUUGCACGAUGGGCGGAAGCCUGAUGCAGCAACGCCGCGUGCGGGAUGACGGCCUUCGGGUUGUAAACCGCUUUCGCCUGUGACGAAGCGUGAGUGACGGUAAUGGGUAAAGAAGCACCGGCUAACUACGUG